Molecule: long non-coding RNA, 1011 nt
Filed under: Homo sapiens (human)
Lineage: Eukaryota; Metazoa; Chordata; Mammalia; Primates; Hominidae
Description: HSALNT0364898
Source: RNAcentral
GCAGACUCCGUCAAGAGCCAGGGCACUCAAUGCACAGUUAGUAUUCACACAAGACAUGGGACAGUGUGCCCAAACAGCCACAGUUUAGAAGGGGGCAUGAGCAGACUGAGUGGGCCAGGGAAGCUUUCUGCAGGAGGUGGGGCAGACCAGAAUGCAAAGCCUUUCCAGGAGGAGAGGACACCCAGCCAAGCACGUAGGAGUGGAAGUGACCUGGCAUGGGCCAGAGUGGUGAAGAGCCUGGCCUGAUUGGAACAGAGGCUGUGAGGGGGUCAGGUCCCAUGCAGCCCUGGAGGUUUUGAGCUGGAGAGACACUUGAUGGCUGUGGCAUUUGGGAACAUCCUUCUAUGCUGGGAGAGGAUGGAGGAAGGGAGCCCAGUGAGAAGAUCUGGCAGCCUCCCAGGGUCUCACUCUGUCACCCAGACUGGAGUGCAGUGGCGCGAUCUCGACUCACCACAACCUCCACCUCCUGGGCUCCAGCGAUUCUCCUGCCUCAGCCUCUGAGUAGCUGGGAUUACAGACUGAAGUCAUGACCUACCUGCCUUGGGCCAGAGUUCCUUCCAGGUUCUUUCACCCAUUUUCCAGCCACGCCUCUGAGGCUGCAUUGUCAUUUAUGAUGACCUUCAUAAAGUUAAGGCCUUCUAUACUUCCUAAUUACCUGCUUAUCUCUACUCUCUGUUUUCACCUAUUUUUCGAAGUUACCUCGAGUGGGUAGAGCUCACAUUUUCACAUCUCACUAUGAUGCUGUUGUUUCUAUGCAGCCGGACCACCACCGUCAUGGUACCCGUUUGAUCAGCCAUUAAGUAUCACAAUUAUUUUCAGAGACACAAAGUAAAGGGCUGGAAGAAUUUCAGCACAGAGUACACAGCACACAUUGCAGAUCAUUAGCUGAGGGUGUUUUCAGUAUACCUAUUGGCCAAGGCACAAAGAAAGGUCUUUUGAGAAGUUUCCAUUGGCUGAGAGCCUAUGAGAACUUUCAGAAUAUAAAAAAAAUUGAUUUCUAAGAGAGUGAGC